UACCUACUGUUGCUUCGGCGGGAUUGCCCCGGGCGCCUCGUGUGCCCCGGAUCAGGCGCCCGCCUAGGAAACUUAACUCUUGUUUUAUUUUGGAAUCUUCUGAGUAGUUUUUACAAAUAAAUAAAAACUUUCAACAACGGAUCUCUUGGUUCUGGCAUCGAUGAAGAACGCAGCGAAAUGCGAUAAGUAAUGUGAAUUGCAGAAUUCAGUGAAUCAUCGAAUCUUUGAACGCACAUUGCGCCCGCCAGUAUUCUGGCGGGCAUGCCUGUCUGAGCGUCAUUUCAACCCUCAUGCCCCUAGGGCGUGGUGUUGGGGAUCGGCCAAAGCCCGCGAGGGACGGCCGGCCCCUAAAUCUAGUGGCGGACCCGUCGUGGCCUCCUCUGCGAAGUAGUGAUAUUCCGCAUCGGAGAGCGACGAGCCCCUGCCGUUAAACCCCCAACUUUCCAAGGUUGACCUCAGAUCAGGUAGGAAUACCCGCUGAACUUAAGCAUAUCU
RNAcentral lists this ribosomal RNA (495 nucleotides) under Clonostachys rosea. RNAcentral's name for it is "eukaryotic LSU rRNA". The stretch from base 126 to 279 matches the Rfam family "5.8S ribosomal RNA". Lineage: Eukaryota; Fungi; Ascomycota; Sordariomycetes; Hypocreales; Bionectriaceae. The record is from RNAcentral.